UCCGCCCGCUGGCGGCGUGCUUAACACAUGCAAGUCGAACGGAAAGGCCCCUUUGGGGGUACUCGAGUGGCGAACGGGUGAGUAACACGUGAGUAACCUGCCCUUGACUUCGGGAUAACUUCAGAAAACUGGGGCUAAUACCGGAUAGGAAUCCUUGCUGCAUGGGGGGGGUUGGAAAGCUUCGGCGGUUUUGGAUGGACUCGCGGCUUAUCAGCUUGUUGGUGGGGUAGUGGCUUACCAAGGCUUUGACGGGUAGCCGGCCUGAGAGGCCGACCGGCCACAUUGGGACUGAGAUACGGCCCAGACUCCUACGGGAGGCAGCAGUGGGGAAUAUUGCACAAUGGGCGGAAGCCUGAUGCAGCAACGCCGCGUGCGGGAUGACGGCCUUCGGGUUGUAAACCGCUUUCAGCAGGGGCGAAGCUUGUGGUGACGGUACCUGCAGAAGAAGCACCGGCUAACUACGUG
RNAcentral lists this ribosomal RNA (465 nucleotides) under uncultured bacterium. RNAcentral describes it as "partial 16S ribosomal RNA". It matches the Rfam family "Bacterial small subunit ribosomal RNA", at positions 34 to 507 of the family's 1533-position model. The record is from RNAcentral.